AGAGUUUGAUCCUGGCUCAGAUUGAACGCUGGCGGCAUGCUUUACACAUGCAAGUCGAACGGCAGCACGGGUGCUUGCACCUGGUGGCGAGUGGUGAACGGGUGAGUAACAUAUCGGAACGUAUCCGGAAGUGGGGGAUAGCUCGGCGAAAGCCGGAUUAAUACCGCAUAUGCCCUGAGGGGGAAAGGGGGGGAUCCGCAAGGACCUCUCGCUUUCGGAGCGGCCGAUAUCAGAUUAGCUAGUUGGUGGGGUAAAGGCCUACCAAGGCGACGAUCUGUAGCGGGUCUGAGAGGAUGAUCCGCCACACUGGGACUGAGACACGGCCCAGACUCCUACGGGAGGCAGCAGUGGGGAAUUUUGGACAAUGGGCGCAAGCCUGAUCCAGCCAUGCCGCGUGAGUGAAGAAGGCCUUCGGGUUGUAAAGCUCUUUCAGAUGGGAAGAAACGGACACGGUUAAUAACUGUGUCUAAUGACGGUACCGUCAG
Molecule: ribosomal RNA, 485 nt
Filed under: uncultured bacterium
Lineage: Bacteria
Description: bacterial SSU rRNA
Rfam family: Bacterial small subunit ribosomal RNA
Source: RNAcentral